Molecule: long non-coding RNA, 935 nt
Organism: Hippopotamus amphibius kiboko
Lineage: Eukaryota; Metazoa; Chordata; Mammalia; Artiodactyla; Hippopotamidae
Exons: 5
Source: RefSeq, a predicted model, not a curated record
CUGGGCGCGGGCGGAGACAACAGUCUCGGCGGUGCGGCGCGGCGCUGCGCGUCCCGUCCGCAGGUCUUGGAGUUAAGUCAACAGGAGAAGAGUCAAGUGAGGUUACAGAUGAGCAACACUUCCCAACAAACAACGUUAUGAAGCAGGUACAAGUGUAACCGAAAGUGGGGUCUGGCUGCUCGCCGCUCAAAAGCCAAUAAAGAGGCAAGUUUUUCCAGGCAAAAGGCAGGCUGAGGACAUGGGGGACAAGGACUAAGCUAGCAGCUUUAAAACAGAACACUGUUGGACAAAGCACCUCACCACGAAUGGCUUCCCCACCAUCACCCCUCAGCUGGCUUCUCAGCAAGUCCCAGAGACAAGACACUUCACCUUCCAGGGAGCUAUGCUGCACAUCUUUCAACAACUGGAUCUCAGGUUGGGGGCUGGGGAGGCCACUUCCUUGGGUGCUCUAUCUCAGCUCUAGGGGUAGUGGCUGCUUCUUAUUUCUGCUCUUCCUUAAAGAGUUCGCUUCAGUUUUUCCUAGCCAAUCCCUUAUUACCCUAAUCCCUAAUCUUUUCCUGUUCAAGUUACUAUGUGACUUCUGUCUCAUUGAACCCUCACUGAUAUACCAGCUAUUUUAAUUGGAUAUUUGUAUUUUUAUACUCUACGUUAUUUGUUUAUAUAUAUGUAUUUACCAUGUUUUGAGCAAUAAUUGAAAUUUUCUUAUUUUGCAAAUACUAAAUGCCUUUCUAUGCUUGCAUCUGCACAGAUUUUAGCACUGGUCUAAAUUCAGGUAAUUCAAAAAUACCAGAAGGCAUCAUGUGAGUCUUUAAAUCUGCCUACAGUUCAUCUACUUAGCUUCGAAGAGUUGUCUCUGAUGAAUGUGACAUUUAUUCAAAAUUCAAAGCUGUUCAAAAAUUUAAAACUAUUGAUGAUUUUACUCCAUAGUAUAUUCU